Long non-coding RNA from Anarrhichthys ocellatus (wolf-eel), 8819 nucleotides. RefSeq lists it as uncharacterized. The transcript is spliced from 3 exons. The record is from RefSeq and is a predicted model, not a curated record. NCBI's taxonomy places the organism in Eukaryota, Metazoa, Chordata, Actinopteri, Perciformes, Anarhichadidae.
CUCCUCACCCUCCCUCCUUUCUCUUCCCCUCCCCACUUUCCCAUUUUCCAUUCUCAAAGCCACGACAGUUAGCUCGCUCAGUUGAGUUAUUUUCAGCGCCGACACCUCCAGAGUCCUCCGCUGCUCACCAAUUUACUGCACGUGCUUGCGAGCCCACUCGCAGAGAGAGGUGUGGGGGUCAGAGGCGGCGGAUGGAAAAAACUGAUGGUGUGUUAGUCCUGGUUGGAAAAGGAAAAUCCUCGUCAUCCUCCUGCUUUCCCAAAAAGGAUCGGCUAAAUGAAAGAGGCAGAGGAAGACUGACAAUGAGGGAACAUGGACGUAAACGAUGCAGGUGCACACAAUGUGUUUGGUGAGUAACACUGAAUGUAUGCAGAACAUUUACAAGAAAUCCCCACAGGGCACAUUUUAGAUAUGGAGGCGGAGCUUGGAGGCAACUACGAGACCGGCUCUGGCUAGCAACCUCACUGUAAUAACGAGACUCCAGGAAGUCACCGCACCCAAAAUUGUUCCAGCAAGUAACUCCUAAAACCCAAACUAUAUGUGAUCACUAAUAAUGUGAUUAUAAGUGAGAUUUAAAGAUGUUGGUUGGCAUAUUAUUUGAAACUGAGCCAGGCUAGCUGUUCCCCCUGCUUCCAGUCUUUGUGCUAAGCUAAGCUUAUUACUUACCAGUUUUGUACUUCGUUCACCGACAUGACAGUGGUAUCGAUCUUCUAAUCCAACUCUAAGAAUGCAAAUGAGCGUCUUUCCCAGGUAAAUUAUAUUAGAAAGAAACAAAUCGUUGUUGCAUGUGCGAAUCGCCCUGAAUAGAAUUCGACAACUGAAAACGACACAUCCUCACUGAGAGGGUUCAACUGAAAUGAUUCGAAACAAUGCUGCUGGAAAUCUAGGGUGAUUUUGUACAAAACGGUCACAUGAAUGAGGCAUAAGCAGUCAAUCAGUCGAGCAGAGGUCUCACAGCCCAGCUGUCAGAAAGCUGAGCUUUCCUCUCUCCUUACUCAGCAGAGCAGAAAAAAAACACACACUCUUGUCUCUUCAUUUCCUCGCUCUUUCUUUGCCCCCCCCACCCCCCGCUCCCUCUCCUCUGUGAUGAAUGGAAGGUAUGAAUUCUCCGCGGCCUCCCCGGGUUUCUCUCUGAGGCCCUCAGCAGCUGAACAAACAACACGCUCCCAACUUAAAGGCGCAAUCAGGAAUUUAUUUGAACCAUGUACGUUUUGGGUAUAUUUGUGUAUAGCCUGAAGCACUGGAGUAGGAACAUGGAAAAAAGAUUUUUGUAGAGCUGUCAUUUUUUCACUGCAGUUGUAAACAAAACCUUUCAUGAGCUCAGGUCGAAGCGGUUGAACGCUCAUUUAUCAAAACUCCGGUAAUGAAUUUUAAUGAAGAUAAAAGGCAAAUAAAUAAUUACGUAAACAGAGCCAGUAAUGGGGAAAACUUCCCUCAGUUCUGUCCUUGUGGGCACAGACUCAGAGAGGUGGAGGUGGUGGUGGUGGGGAAGAAGAGGGAGUGGUGUUGGUCAGGUCUGGAGGGGUGGUCCUGGUCAGGAGUCGGACCCAGCUGUUGUGGCCUAUUUAUCCAUUCCACAGCACCAGAGGUUGCGGUGGAGUGUUGGAUGAGUUAGAGAGGCAGAGCAUGAAACAGAGAGAGGGAGAAAGAGUCUGUAUGACAGGGGGGUGGAAGAGGAGAUGGAUGAGGAUGAUGAGAAGCAGAUGGAGGGUGUUUUUUUCCCCUUUUUUCUUCCUAUCUGCCUGUGACGCAGGUUGAGCUGUCCAGGUGCAUUGUGGGUAACUUGUAUGAAUACAUGCCCAGCUUCUUGCGGCUUCAAAUUGAUUGAGGAGGACUGGCUGCGGUGAUGCAGCUGUCUGCCGAAGUAUAUGCAGAUCAUUCACUUUGGUAAAAAAUACCGAAAUCCUACGUAAAGAGAAUAACAGAUGUAUUACCAGCAAAAUGUACUUAAAGUAUUAAAAGUAGAAGUACUCAGUAAAAUGUCCCCUGUGAGUGGUAUAUUACUAUUUACGCCAUUUUUAGAUUAACUCUAAAUACAAUACAUCAAUGUGAAUUUUACUGAUGAAGCUGCUCGUGGUGGAGCUAGUGUGAACUGCUUUAAAUAGAACUCAGUAGUUUAGUUCAGUGGUUCCCAUCCUAUGGCCCGGACCCCCAGCAGAGGGUCACCAUACACAUCUGAGGGGUCGUGGGAUGGUUAAUGGAGUUCUACACAAAUUUGUACACAUUUAUUUUACUACUACUACAGGCUUAUUUUACUCCUUUGGUACCAGUUAUGUAAAUGAAACCAUUUGAGAAGGUUUUAGAUGAAAUGUCUCUUUGGUGAAACUGCUCAAAACUCGUGGUACAAAAUAAAAUGUCAACCUCAUGGUGAUGCUAGGUAAGACGAUCAUCCUCUGAGGACCAUGACCUUUCUUAGAAAAUCUCAGUUUAAUCCAUCCAGCAGUUGUUGAGAUAUUUCAGUCUGGACAGACUGACUGCCAUCCCUAGAUCAGCACCACUAGCAUGGCUAAAAAAGUGCAAUAUUUUACUCUAAAAUGUAGUGAAGGAGUAUGAAAUAGAUACUUGACUACAGUACUUGGGUGCAUGUGUUUAGUUUCUUUCCACCGCUUCCAGGCAGAAAGGUGAGGCUGGAGCCGCUCGGCGAGAUGAUGUGAAAUACACAGUAGAACGCUGGCGGCUUGACAGCUCUUUAACGAUCUGCAGGCUGUGUUAUUCGACUGGUCUUCACUCCCCCCACCCAGCCAUCCAUCCACCCACCUCUGCACGCUGCAGCAGCCAGAACAUUCCUCACACAUCUGGCCCCCGAGUCUUUCCCAAACACUCCCUUCUCCUACCACUCUGCGCCGUAAUUACCCACAAGCCCUGUGUUCUCCUUUUCUUUUUAUGAUCCUCAGCCCCCUCCCUGCCUGAAAUCAUAAAAGUGUGGAGCACACAAACGUCAUUUAUAGUCUUGAUUUAAAAGGAAGGAGGCUUUCUGGUGUCCACAGAGAUGUGCCAUCCAGAAAUAUGCUUUUUCCUCCGCCAAGUGUGUGUUGCCAGAACUUAUAAAAGCAAGACAAACAUAAUGAAUCAGUUACCCAGUUUGAACCGUAAUUUCUUCUCUCGAUUGUUGUUUGCCCCCUCGAGAUGUUUCUGCUGUUUUGAGGCAGCUGAGUAACGCAGGAUUCAAUGAGUGGGUGUGGGAAUGAGGACAAUUCCCGAUGAUAUAGACGUCUCGUGGGAAUGUUUGUGUUUGUUUUCCAGCUGUGGAAAAUAACUACAGUACAUUCACUCUAGUUUAAAUUUCAGGUAAUUGUACUUAACUUUCCAUUUUAUGCUACUUUAUACUUCUGUUCUACUACAUGUCAAAGGCAAGUAUUGCACCUUUUACUCAACGUUAUUCUGACAACUACGGAAACUACUUAGAAUGCUUCUCAACAUGUCGACAAAGAGCCGGCAGCUCAUAGCUAACGAUGCUAACAGUGCUAACAAUGCAAACUACAGUGCUUAAAGAGCUCACAGGGUUUACCUGACUGGGAGCCGGAGGGUUGGUGCUGUGCUUCAGUGACGAGGCUGUCGAUCGGAGCGAGGUUAUCAGCUUUAAACCGCAGUAUUAGAGCUAUGUUAAUGUACAUAAUGUCUAAUACAGUCCUGAUAAAGUUAAGAUUGUAUUUUAAAAAAUCUUGAGAAGCUAAUAAGCAGUGUCUAACUGGAGCUCCGUGUCAUGUUUCAGAUGUCUAUGAGCUUUGAAUGUCUUUUUUGAGGCUCAAAAAAGUUAAAUUAUCCAGUAUUUUACAAAAAAAAAAUAAGAUAUUUUUGUGUUUUUCUUAAUCAUCUCAUGAAUCUCACACAUUCCUAGGAGAUGGGUUGAUGUGAUAAUAUAACACUCCCAGGGGGCGUUUUUUCUGCAGAACUAGCUGUAUUGCUAAAGGAUCUGAACGCUUCUUCCACCCCGCGUGGUGUGAGAGCGAGACGCCCAGGGGGUCAGAGGUCGGCUGGCAUGUGGGGUCGGUCAGCGCUGAUGCGUCUGCGGCGAGCCACAUGUCGAAGCAUCCACAGGAAGUGAGGCCGCAUGCAAGGGGGCUUGCAUACAGGAAGGCGCUUUGUUGACGCUCCCUGCCAGGAAAGAACUAUUGUUAACAGUACCCGGCGGUGUUUUUUAUGUGACGGCACUGUUUACUCCUGCUUUGUCUGUAAUCUCAGGCCCCUCGCUCUUGUACCUCCCCCGGCUGGCACUCGGCCACACAUUUGUCUUGCCGCUCUUGUGUCUUUCAGAUAGUGGCUUACUUUCACACUGUGGGAACAAUUGUUGCGACACUUGAGUGCUUGCUAUCUGAAUUGGAUUAAAGGUUUGUUUGGAGGUGGAUAACGCCCACUAGAACUGAUAUAGGGGGAAUACAUAUGAGUAAUAGCUGACGAUGACAACACCUGUAGAUUGGAAGAUGGAAAGAGAGGCAGAUGAUAAAGGGAAGAAUUGAAAGUAAAAGUUCUUUGAAGCAUACGUUCUCAGAUCCUUAAAAGCAGUGUUUAAAGCAAGUGUCCCUGGCAAUGAAGUUGUACUUAUAUCUUGUUUUUGUUCUGAAAUCAGACACUUUUCAUUGUCCUUUACUGAGAAACGCAACAACCCCUCUCUACGCUGAAAAACAAAGGUUCCCUGGCUAACUGGUGCUAAACAGAUUUAUGACUACUAACUGAAGGACUGGUUCAACACCUACACGGUUCAUUUGUUUUAUUUGAGGAACAUUUCAUUGUUCCAUGUGGCUUCUGUUAGUCUGAAAAUACUUUCAACAGUUUGGUGUUGUAGUGUUACAAGUGUAUGCUUUUGCAACAAGCCAGUAUCAUUGAUCCUGUCUACGAGUAUAUCUUAAUCAUAGUUUCUGUCUUUACUGUUUAAUUUAGAGACAUUUCACUGUGUUUUUAGGCAAAAACAAAGAUAAUGGAGCGUCUGUUUACUAAAAAAAACCCGAUACUUUUGUACCCAAUGCCUACUUUUCCAGAAACAUUUCUUGCUAGCAGUGUGUUUUCUCCUCUGAGAUCCUCCCUUAUGACAUUCUUUCUGUUGACCAUCAGACUUUACGCUCAGCGGCCCUGCAGCCCUGCUCUCCGUGCUCAAAUCCCCCCUCAGUCUGCCUUCAAUAGAAAUGGAAAUUUGAGGCCCUCCCCUCCCGCGGCUCCCCCGUCUCCUUGCUCCACUCCCCCAGAAUGAGCCAGGAUGUUUUGAGAAGUGGGAUAUUGCUCCUAAUGGAUUCCAAACACCACAAAAGUUUAUUAGGAAGCAGGGCAUCGUAAAAGUAGGAGGUGGGGGUGGAGGGUAAGUAGGAGAGGAGAAGUACGUAUAAUGUGUUGGAGUGUGGAUAGUUUCUGUUUUGAUUUAGCAGAGCAUAUAUUUUCACUUCUCUGUAUGAAAUGAACAUUAAGCAGUGAUGUUGAUACAUCACUACAUUAACCUGCCUGUCCACAUGGCUGGGGCUGUGUUUCUUUGUUCAGCCAGGUGCUUUUUUUUACUCUUCUUCUUCUUUCUCUGACACAGUUUCAGUGGCAUGACGGAUGCAAAUCAAAUGACAACAUCAUGUUUCAUAAAGACCUCAUAAUGUAGCGAUGUCCUUGAUGACAAACGAAAACUAUCAAAAGGUGGAAUGUCCCAAUUCUUUAGUGUCUAAAUGUGUCUAUGUUGCAGUAUUUCUCACAAAAUGAUCUUCAUUGUCGUGUAAUUGAAUAAAGUUUACUGUACCCACAUUACUGAUGAAUAUUUAUCAAAAGUCGUAGGUAAAUAUUUUGUGAAAACACGAAUAGUCAACCCUACAAUAUUGUCGCAAAAUUGAUAUUGUGGUAUUUGGUCAAAAAUAUUUAGAUAUUUGUUUUUCUGCAUUACUUUAGCUCAUUGCUUUGUGUGAGCUCCAUUGUUGGCCAGAAACUACUCAAUUUGUAUAAAUCCUCAGCAGAAAAUAGUGUUCGAGUAAUGUUUUAGGAAAAUGACUGAGCGUAUAAAAAGACGUUGAACUAUUCCUUUAACAAAGUGAUGAGUGAUUUAUGACUCCAUCAUCCAUCUUUCAGACAUAGACACUGCAUAGUUGUGCCUGUAUACGUCCAAUGAAAGCUUAACGGAAAAUGUGGAAUUAGAUUGAAUGCCUUCGCAGUGUGUUGGCUUGUGUGUCAGAGCAGUUUUCCUGUGUGUGUGUGUGUGUGUGUGUAUUCAUGGCCUCCUCUUGGCUGUGUCCAUCCUUGCGUCAGAGGUCCUAAUCUUGUCCUCUCCUCACAAAGCCUCUCUUUGAUGUGCUGAUGCUGCUUCCUGCCAUGUUCAAAUACAGCUUCACAAUCAAAUUGAGUCCGCCUCCACUGCAUGCAUUAGUGUUUAAAAGCGUUAUUGAUCAGGAAAGAAUAACUCUACAAGACCCUCUCUCGUUUCAUCCCCCGCCUCGGCCUUGUAAGCGCUGCCUCAGAAGUGAAGCAGUGAGUUGAGGAGUCCUGGAAGGAACAAAUACCCACCAAUGACUUUCCCUCUCAAUGGAUGAUACGAGGCUCUUGAGAGAAAAGAUUGGAUUGCAUUUGUGAUUUUCUGCUUGAUCCUUUAAUCCUUUAGUCUCUUUUCUUUGACAACAAAACCUAAUUUCACUCCUCAAAUCCUUAUUCUGCCCAGCCAGUAUUGUCACUUGUUGAUUUUCCGAUGGCACCUUUAACUAGGCAGUUAGACGACUACAUCGACAUUUUUAGGAAUAUGCUUAUUUGGGUUUUGGCUGAGCGUUAGAUGAGAGGAUUGAUAUCACUAUGUCUUUCCAAAAAUAUGCAGCUAGAGACAGGGGCUCUUUAGUUUAGCAUAACGACUGGGAACAGGGGGAGAAGGCUAGCUUGAGUCUGCCCAAAGGUAACAAAACCACCUCCAGCACCUCUGAAGCUCACAAAUGAACACAUUAUUUUUUGUUUGUACAGUGAAAAUGUGUAGUAAUCAAGAGGCUUCAAGACUAUUUCUUGGCCGAUACCAGUAACUUCCUGGAGUCUCAGCAGCACAUUUUGAUAGCUGUGGUAGCAUAAACUUUAGUGUGUAGGUUGGACUGUAGAACACUUACACUUGACAAAAUGUAGUUGACACAUUGAUCUUUUCAUGUCGUUGAUUCAUGAUUCAUCCAUUCACCUCAUGGUCGCGGUCGUAAACCUUCUCCAAGUCCACAAAACCCAUGUAGACUGGAUGGGCAAACUCCCAGGACCCAUCCAGAGCAGAGCUGGUCCACUGUUCUAUGGCCAGGAGGGAGUCCACAUUGCUCCUCCUGUACCUGAGGUGGGACUUUCAGUCCGAGCCUUCUUUACAGAACCCUAGAAUACACUUUAUCGAGGAGGCUGAGCAUGCGAUAGCCCAAAAACUGGAGCACAUCCUUCGAUCCCCCUUUUUAAAAAAGGGAACCACCACCCCGGUCUGCAUACAUGAAAGCUGUAUCAAAGUUCUCAUCUCACCCUGAGCAACAAAGUGAAUAAGCGUAUUUCCCAAAAAUGUCAAACUGUUGCUUUAAGUAAUUUUCCCCCCACAGAUCAUUCGCCAUGUGUCUACAAGAGAGUUGGCGUCUCUGUUCCUCAUCAGUGGACUCCUGACAGACGUGCCCUCCAGCCCCAAUAAUCAACCCCCAAAAAAUGAGGGGAGAUGUUUUCUCUCGGCUGCUAAGUGGGAACAGAAAAGCGCAGUGGGAAGGGAAGGGAAGGGGGGGGGUAGUCAGCUGAAGAUUGGAAUUCUCUGAGACGUGUUUGGCCCCCACCUCCAUGGGCCCUCCCGAGCCAAGUUAGCCGUUAAAUCCCCCUUUCUUCUUACUGAUGACCCGUGAGUGAUGUGGGGGAGGGGCCACAGGGUCAAUGAAGAGUGUGGUGGGGAGGAAGGGGAGUGGAGGGAUGGUGGUGAUGAUGAUGAUGAUGGUGGUGGUGGUGGUGGUAGUGCAGGGGAGGGGGGGUAAAAAACGAAGACGAGGCAAAGCCUGGCAAGGAGGCGCACUUGUCUUUCCACUCCUGUAAUCCCUCCAAUUUGAAUUAUUAAAUCUAAAUCUGUGUUCCGGAUUCAUCAGAGCCCACAUUGCUCGCAAAUUACUCCCAGGUGUGUCGAGGACAUUGCUGCGCAUGGAGAUGAGAACACGAACCAGCGGCAUGGCCGCUUAUGGAUGCAAUCACACACUUUGGUGCAGCCUGGAAAGUCUGAAGUAGUUAGUUAUGAAUAAUGUUGGUGCCGGGCAAAACGCCAGCUUGAUGACUUCUCUUUUUUAGCUCCCUGAUGGAUUGAGAAACUUCUGGGUUGGGUGGAGUUUGUGAACCCUUUUUAGAUGAGCUUAUAAAACAAAACAAGCAGUUAUAUAAACUCAUACAUUUGUCAUGCAGUUCGCAGCUGUCAUGCAGCUGUCAGCACCUGCAAAGCUGAUUGUAUAAGACGGCAUACUGAUAUUGCUCGUGAUGUGGUAGUUCUCACUGGGUACAACGUGUUCCAAUGUGAUGUGGUAUGUUUGAAAAGGUGUCAUGUGAAACUCGGAGAUUAGAAAAGGACAAAGCGAGUGGGAGUAGUUUUGUAUUCAGUGCCUUCUCGAAAUGCUGUGAGACUGAAUAUAACCUUUAUUUAAUCAGGUAAUCGCACAGAGUUCAAGAUCUCUUUUGCAUGAGAAAGCAGAGAGGACAAAAAAACACACGAAGCAGAAGGACAAAUACAUACAAUAAACUAUUAAAUCAUUGGCUUUUGAUAAAACUGAAUUUGAAACUGUUAUCUUAAAAACUUGUUUAUGGCUUACAUGUUAGCGAAUAGAUAUUUACACAUCUAAUAGACACAGAGCAACAUUAUGAUGAACAUGAGUCCAAUAUUCACUCUCUUUUAGUUUUAG